This is a long non-coding RNA of Dama dama (fallow deer), 7040 nucleotides long. RefSeq lists it as uncharacterized. The record is from RefSeq and is a predicted model, not a curated record. NCBI's taxonomy places the organism in Eukaryota, Metazoa, Chordata, Mammalia, Artiodactyla, Cervidae. The transcript is spliced from 3 exons.
CAGGGGGGAGAUGGUGAGCCUAGAAUCUACACCAAGUUGAGCUACAACUUGACUAGUUUUUUUCUUUUUUUUCUCUUUUUCUUCUCUUCUUUUUCCUUAAAGCCAUCCAAGACUCACGCUUAACUAUCCGGUGGUUAAAUGAGAAAGAAGAUGGGGACUUCUCUGGAUGAGCGGCAGCUCUAAAAUAGUCUAAAUUAGGCAAGUUGUUUUGCAGGAAAAACCAGAAGUGACUCAGGAAAAAAAAAAAAUCAGAAGGAGCAGGUACUUCCGCCUAAUCAGUACCCCCAACAGCUUUGAAGCAUAGAGAACCUGCUGUCAUUGUGGGUGCAAAUCUCAUGUUCUUGAGGCAGUUGGCAAGAUCUUUUGCUUAAUUCCUGUCAACUCAGGUUGAUUUCCUUUUAGUUAUAGCAUUUUACCCCCUUUAUUUCUUUGGCAGACAAAGCCUGCUUUCUUUUUAAAGAGGCUUUUUCAUUUAGGAAUGGAAAGAGGGCAGUGUAUUUAUAUUGUUAAGGAAAAAAUUGAGGAGGUGUUAUUAUAGAAGAUACAGAACUGUGUGCUGAAGCUUUUUACAGGGAAGAAAUGGAACGUCCACAAUAACGAAGGACCUGGGUGAGGAACUCUGCGAAGAGCUGGGAAACAAGAGGCUACCCCAGCCAACCUUAAACCAGUCAGAAUGAGAGGCCUAGCCUGUGAAUUCUGGUGUAGACGGGCAUAUCAGAGCUUCCCAGAUUCCGUUCAUAGCAGGUCGAUAGGUAAUGCUGGAAAAAAAAAAAAUGAAACCUGCAAAUUCGGACACAUCUGCUUCCUGAAUUAAUGUUCUCCCAAGCUGUGAACAAGCAGUAGAAGGGACUUCUAGUUUCACCCCCUAUCUUGGCUCUUCUGACCUACACCUUUGAGGCAUCUGGCUCAGAACAGAAAGGUUGACAGGCCCACAAAUCCUGGAGAGGAGAAGGAAAAGCAGUGAUAGCUUGUAUCAUAAUAGUAGCUUGAAUGUAUAUAGUGUUUGGCAAUUUAGAAAAUUCUUUGAUGUCUGUAAUUUAAUUUCCUAAAAUCCAGAAUUUGAGCUGCAAAGGAACCUUGGGUGUCAUUUAACCCAAAGUUUCUGAACUGGAUUCCCUGCUGCCGUUGUGGGUGUGAUAAUUCUUGGUUUGGGGUGGGGAGGUCUCCUGCAGACUGCGGCAUGUUUCACAGGGUCUCUGCCCUCUACAUUCCCAACCCCUACAUGUGACAACCACAAAUGUCUCCUGAGAGGCAAGACCGCUCCCUGUUGAGAAUUACUGAUCGAGGCUAUCUUGGAGUUAUAAACAGAUUAUACACUUACACAUGUGUGCAUGCUAAGUUGCUUUAGUUGUGUCUGACUCUUUGCAACCCUAAGGACUAUAGCCCACCAGGCUCCUCUGUCCAUGGAUUCUCCAGGCAAGAAUACUGGAGUGGGUUGCCAUGCCCUCCUCUGGGGGAUCUUCCCAACCCAGGGAUCGAACCCAAGGCUCCUGCAUUGCAGGUGGAUUCUUUACCGCUGAGCCACCAGGGAAGCCCAAACAUUUACACAUGAAACUGUAAGUUUCAUGCACCAAUGAAACAGUAGUAUCUCCACACUCAGCAUGGGCUUGGUGUCUUGACCUGGCUCUUCCUGUCAAGGCUAUCAAAAUUGAGACACGUGCAAGAGAUUUCAAAGGUCCAAAGCAAUGUCUCUUUGAUACAAAACUACUCAAAUUAAUUUGGUUGGAAAUCUAUCAAUUUAAUUUUUCAAAGCAAAGAACUACCACCAUAAAGCCCUAUCACACUGAUUCUGUUGUUAGACUGACUUUGCCAUCCAGCAAACUGGCAGGCCUACGUCACACAAAUAGCACUUUUGCAAUCAGGCUAAGGAUCUGCCAAGCUAUAGAAAUGCCUUAUUAAAUUCAGACCCCUUGGCUUCAUGGACAUGUGAAAACUGCUGACAAGCUGGUUUUUAAGACUUAGACCUUUUUCUGGUGUCACUGCUGGUUUCUAAUUAUGUCAAAGGCUUCACUUAAGACUCAGAAUUUUGUUUUUUGACACACUAUGAACAACCACUGCCCCUGGAACAAGUCAAUUCACUGAUACUAGAAUCAACCUCUGUACCCCUUAGGCAGAAGGCAAUGGUCUGAUAAAGUAGAUGCUCAAACAAUGUUUGUGCAUGCAUUCAUUCAGUCAUUCAUUUAUUCAUUCAUGCGAACACUUGCUGACUAAAAUGACUGAACACUUGCUGACUGCCAGGCUGUGUUGGUGCUUGGUGAUCCAGUCGUGAAUGCUGCACAGUCCUUGGGGUUCCCAGCCUAGCAAGGGUGGACGAAGGAGGGAGAAAAGACGGCAGAGCAAACACCAUGAGCAAAGACAGGCAGCCACAUAAGGUUAUUUAACCCUAGGACUUCCCAGGUGAUGCAGUUGAUAAAGAAUUCGCCUGCCAAUGCAGGAGAUGCAAGAGAUGCUGGUUUGACCUCUGUCUUGGGAAGAUCCCCUGGAGGAGGAAAUGGCAACCCACUCCAGUAGUCUUGCCUGGAAAAUUUCAUGGACAGAAGAGCCUGGUGGGUUACAGACUAUGGGGUUGCAAAGUUGGACAUGACUGAGUGCAGACACACACAGGAACACACAUGUGUUCUUUGAACAAACAUUGAGUGCCAAAGGUAUGAUCAUAGCUUUGUAAAGUUUACAAGCAACAGUGGACUGUGGGUCAAAACAGAACCCAAAGAGCGAUCCAGCUUUAACAGGUGGGUGAGGACUGAAAAUCUGCACAUCUGGCUAAUUAUAUUUAGAGACAGAUGGAAAUUCUGCAAGGGUAAUCCACCUAUAACUAAAACUACAUUAUCAUAUAUUGAUUGCAUUACUGCAAAUGUAAUACCCAAUGAUGUUGUAAUAGAAUGAAUUAAUUAAAAUCAUGAAGAUCAAAAUCAAUUUUAUUGAGCAUCUUUACAAGCCAGACACUUUGCUCAGUGUUAUCAUUUACCGCAGUGGGACGAUUUCAGAGGAGGACUGUAUUCCACAGCAACUCCAGCAUUGCUGGGAAAGUGGUUGGAGAGUGCUAUUUCCCUCAUAUGCUAAGAAGAGAGUGGCAUAAAAGAGAAUAGAUGACUUAAAUGCAACUUAAAUGCAAUAGAUGACAUAAAUUCCCUGGAGGGAAGGAGAUGGACUAGAAAUAAUCUCUUACAAAAUUUCUGUAAUGUAUGGUUUAAAAACUCUCGAGUUGAGCACUUACUGUGUGCCAUGAGACACCUUAAGGAAGUUAUCUGAUUUUUCGAGAUGUCCCUAUGAGAUGAAGUUUAAAUGUGGGCUUUAGAGCAGGGAAUCUGCAAACAGGCAGAGGGCCAGAUUCAACCCUGUGGCUGUUCUUAUAGAGUCUUACUGGACUCAAUUUGUUUACAUGUUGUCUAUAGCUGCUGCUCUGCUAUAACAGUGGAGUUGAAUUGCUGCAGCAGAGACAGUAUGGCCCACAAAACCUAAAAGAUUGACUGUCUGGCCCUUUCUAGCAAAAGGCCUGCUCUCUUUGGUCAGAUUUCCUGCGUUUGAGCCCCAAACUGUGAAGCCGUGUGACAGUGAUGUACUUAUUUAUUUAAAGUCUUUGUUCCUCACCAGCCUCAUCUGCAGAAUGAGACUGGACUGGCGGUGACAACAAUCACUAUCUCAAGGUGUCACUGUGAGGAAUAAAUUAGAUAAUAAUACCAAGUCCUUAGAACAAAACCAAGUAUACAGUAAGAAUUUAAUACAUGUUAGCUAUUAUUGCCUCCUUUUUAAAGAUCAGGAACUUGAGGCUCAGAGUGAUCAAAUAACUUACCCAAGACCGCUCAGAAUUGAAAUUUAGCUGAUGACAAAGCCCAGGGUCCCUUCUGCCAUGGUAACUCUCUUUGCUGUGUUCUUAGUAAUAGCAGAGUUAACUGCAGCCAGUGUUUAUAGGGUAAAACUAUCAGUGAGAGAUGGACUUUGGUUGACAGAGUUGAAGGAAACUCAAGCACAGGUCCACAGUAAAAUUGCUGGAAAACCAUUCCUUUCUAUAAUACCAAGUGCCUCACUGCACCGCCCCACGUCCCCCACCCUUCAGAGAGUGCUGCAAACUGUUCCAUAGCCUAUUUCUGGCCCUUUAUAAAGUAGUUAAUAGGUUCAAAUUUGACUUUUUAGACUUAAAAAAGAAUUAUUAAAUUCUUAACUGGAAAUGUUUAAGGACUAGAAUUCACAUAAUCCAAAUGUUUAAGUGAGGAAUAUGGGACCAUGAUAUAGCAGUGGGAAUGGGGGCUACUCCCCCAGGCCCUGGAAUCAGACCUGGCUUCAUACCCUGGCUCCCCAACUUGAGAAGCAAGUGUUGUCACACCAGCCAUUUAAUCUCCCUAAGCCUCAGUUUCACCAUCUAGAAAAUGGUGAUAAUAUACCUCACGAUGUUGUGAAGAUUAAGUGAGAUAAUGUAUAGAAAAUACUUAGAAAGUACUUGGCUAUAUUAAGUGCUCAAAUUUAUUAUUUUGUAUUUUAUAUACUAUAUGAUUUUUAAAUAAUUAUUAUUUCAGUUGAGCAAAAUAGAUGUUUUUCAAGGGUGUACUCUUGGGGGUACAGCCCCAUGUCUAAGUCACACCUAAGAAUCACAAAUUCUCUGCUUGACAAUGUAAUUUUAAAAGCUAAAGAAUCUGAAGGAAUUUACUCCCAGAUUUUUGUGGACAAACUGAAAGGGAACUUCUGUAGCUAUUAUCUCCUAUAUUGAUAUAGAAAAUGCAUCAUCAUAACCACACAUUUCACAUGCAGUUAUAAUGAUGCCUUCUUCAAAGCUACUGACUAUUUUAUGCCAAAGAGCAAAUCCUAUGUUCUUUUUGAUAUUUGUUCAAUUGUGUAUUACCUUUUUAUGACUAUAUUAUAGUGUAGUAUACCUACACUAAUGCUUUGUGACUACCCAUUGAAUGUAGUUGUAAAUACUGUUUAUUAACUAUGAUAUAUUCAAAUUACCACUGCAAGUUUAAGAAAGUUACCUGGGAGUAAUAUUCACAGAAAAGCUUCAUGUGCCAGCAUUGGAAUAUAUGAACUGGUGGUUUGAUGGAUGGUAAUUUUUAUCAUAAAAAUAUUCUUUAAUUUGCAAAGGGAUUUCUCAUAGAGUUCCUUUAGCUAGAAAGUCCUCUGUGUCAUCUAGAAUAUGAUUCAAGUUAUUGAAAAAUUGAUCUCUCUCUCUAUAUGUAUCUUUUCUGAAUAUACCUUCCCUAUAUCGAUAUAGACCUAUAACACUGUGCCAAAGUAUCAGUCCCAUUUUCUUGAUGGAGAAACUGGAUAAUCAUGUGCUUAAGCUCAAAAUCACAAUUACACAGCGAUAAAAUGGGAAUCACAAUUUAAUAAAGGAGCUUCAUCUUUGGGAGUACAGUCUCUAGUUUAAAUUCUGUUUGAUAAAUGGCCCAUUUAUCUUCAAGACAAAUCUGGAUAGUCCAAAUAUAGAACAUAUAUAUAUACACACACACACAUAUUUUAGAGUAUAUACACAUAUACAUAUUUUAGAAUAUAUAUAUAUUACAUAUAUAUUCUAAAAUUUGUGUAUAAAGAGUAUUUUUCAUUCAUUUAGUUUCUUGAAUUUAUACCAAAAUAGAUUUAGAAAGUGAACUUUCCCAAACAUAAGCAUAUGUAGCUUAAUAAUGGUGUGUAAAUGCUCUUCCUUUCCCCCAGUUUCAAAGUAUAUUAGCAAGUGAUAGUUAUAUAGUAAUAGUAUAGCCAUUAUUAUUGUGCCGUAUUAUACAUGAGUACAUGCUCUAUGGGUUAUGUUCUUUUAUUACCUUCUGGUGGUAUGUCAAAUCAUAGUAUACAAGAAUAUCACAGGUCUCCUUGUAAGAAAAAUGACAAAUUGCCUGUUCUGAAACAAAGACUCUCUAAGAUAGAAUGACACAGACAAACAUUAGUUUCAGUUUUAGGUGUGACCUUCUGAUUUUGUUUGGUUAACAUUAGUCAUCUCAGUUCUGACUAGGGAACAGUAUCUGCCAGCACAGAAAAAAAUCAGAUCCUGUUUAAUGUUGAUGUUCUUGUAUUUGAUUGACAAGUAUCCCAAGGCACUAGUUACAGUGAAAUAGAAGUUGGCCAGAAAUACUCUCAACAUUGAUUAAGCCAUGGGUUACUUUCUUCUACAAAUAUUUAAGUUGAAUGUGGGGUAUUUUUGAAGUUAAAAAUAUUUUCAAAUACCACAGCAAUAUGACUAUAAUAGGCUCUUUGUGAGAAAACAUAUAAAAGGAAGUAAACUUUCUAGUGGGAGGCAGAGACAAUAUGCAUUAAAAUGCAACUUUAACCCCAAAAUUACAUUUUCUUUUUAUCCACUAAACAUUUAAAUGUUAUUCUCCCUUAACUAACUUUCUAGCUUUGUUCUUCCUCUGGUGAUACUUCAUUUAUUAUUAUUGCUAUUAUUAUUAUUUUUGCAUAUAGUGAAAAAUGAAAAUGAUAGUUUAAAGAACACAUGCUUCUAGCAAAAGUAUGCCUAAAGUUAAACCCUAGUACUUAGUAGCUUAAUUCUUGUUAUAAAAACUUGGACUCUAUUAGAAAUGGGGCCAUUUGAGAGAGGGCCCUUUGUAACAGAGAAAGUAAAAUUUCCUUCCUAUGGUGAAGUGAUUGUAGACAGUUUAGCCUAUUUCCACUUUAUGCUUCACUGUUUGAAAUGUAUUAGAAAAAAUAAAGAAACAUAGUUUAUUUCAUUAUCUAUAAUUGAAACUUUUCAAAGGCAGAGUCCUUAAUUGGUAUCCCUAGUGCCUAGCACAAAAUGAAGAAAUGUUUCAGUAAAGGAAAAAAAUUAAUGAAAGAACCAAUGAAUGAGCACCGUCUUUUAUAAGAAAUGUAGUAAGAUAAAGGUAGGAAAAGAAUUGUAAUAUUAUAUAUAACUACCAAUAAAUUGCUUUGGAUAUCCUAUUUAUAUUUAACUUUUGUUUUACCUGCAUUUAGAACUAUGUACAAAUAGCCAUACAGAGUAUUGUGCAGGGAAUAGAUAGGGGAAACUCCCUGGCAGUUGAAUGGCUAGGACUCCACAUUCUCACUAUUGAGGGUCUGGGAUCAAUCUCUGGUUGAGGAAUUAAGAUCCCACAUCC